Molecule: long non-coding RNA, 569 nt
Organism: Tachysurus fulvidraco (yellow catfish)
Lineage: Eukaryota; Metazoa; Chordata; Actinopteri; Siluriformes; Bagridae
Exons: 2
Source: RefSeq, a predicted model, not a curated record
AAGGAGCAGGUGUGGUGACAGGAAGGAGCAGACGAAGGCGGGGCAGACACGUGACGAGAAACGUAAACAAAACUGCACGUGGCCAAAGUCCGAGCUGAAUCAUGACACUUACUUAGCCGCAAAAUACUUCAACUUAAAAUUUAGACUGUUAUGAACUCAAAAUCCUGAUUCAUAAAAAUAGUCACUCUGGUCUCCCUUGAUGGUGACUGGUUAUUUAAGGAGUUCUGCCUGGCAAAAAGAGAUCUAAUGAAGUGAUUGGUAGAAUAAUCCUUUAGGCGGUCCUUAAUGCCUUUUGCUGCGGGAAAGUUCUGGAAUUAAUCUUCUCGUCGUUCGCCAUUUUAAAUUCGGUGAAACAAGAACAUGUGGAUAUUGUUACCACCUGUACAGACUGUAGCUGCAACCUAGGUGUUUUCUUAUGUACAGUAUGUUUUUGAAAUUUAAACUGAAAUGUAAUUUCUCAUUUAUCUGUACAUUUUUGUACAAUGUGGCUGUGACCAGUUGUUUCAUUUAUUGAAAUUUAAAUGUUUUAAUGUUUAAACAAUUUUGCACAAUAAAUACAUUCAAUAUGA